Molecule: ribosomal RNA, 443 nt
Filed under: uncultured bacterium
Lineage: Bacteria
Description: bacterial SSU rRNA
Rfam family: Bacterial small subunit ribosomal RNA
Source: RNAcentral
GAUGAACGCUGGCGGCAUGCCUAACACAUGCAAGUCGAACGAUGCCUUCGGGCAUAGUGGCGCACGGGUGCGUAACGCGUGGGAAUCUGCCCUUGGGUUCGGAAUAACUCAGAGAAAUUUGAGCUAAUACCGGAUGAUGACGUAAGUCCAAAGAUUUAUCGCCCAAGGAUGAGCCCGCGUAAGAUUAGCUAGUUGGUGGGGUAAAGGCCUACCAAGGCGACGAUCUUUAGCUGGUCUGAGAGGAUGAUCAGCCACACUGGGACUGAGACACGGCCCAGACUCCUACGGGAGGCAGCAGUGGGGAAUAUUGGACAAUGGGCGAAAGCCUGAUCCAGCAAUGCCGCGUGAGUGAUGAAGGCCUUAGGGUUGUAAAGCUCUUUUACCAGGGAUGAUAAUGACAGUACCUGGAGAAUAAGCUCCGGCUAACUCCGUGCCAGCAGCCG